Molecule: long non-coding RNA, 1366 nt
Filed under: Hordeum vulgare
Lineage: Eukaryota; Viridiplantae; Streptophyta; Magnoliopsida; Poales; Poaceae
Description: long non-coding RNA (HVUL_LNC004195)
Source: RNAcentral
UAGUGAAGACUUUAACCACGGAGGGUAAUGGUUGCGAGAGUCCACGGAGGGCUCCACCCACAAGCGGUCACGAAGAAGCGGCGUUGUCUAUUCCACCAUGGCUUACGUCCACAUAGGACUAGCCUCACUCACGGUAGAUCUUCACGAAAUAGGCGAUCUUCUUACCCGUACAAACUUCUUGAUUCAACUCCACAACACGAAGUAGGAGGCUCCCAAGCAACAACUAACCAAUCUAGGAGGCACCACCCUCCAAAAGAUAACAGGUGCGGUAGAUCGAUGAACUCCUUGCUCUUGUGCUUCAAAAGAUAGUCUCCUCAACACUCAAUCACUCUCUCAUAGAUUUGGCAUUGGUAGGAGAGAUUGAUUUUGUUGAAAGCAACUUGGGCAGGCUAGAGAUCAAGUUUCAAAUGGUUGGAUUGAAAUCUCUUGAUCUUAACACAUGAGUAGGUGGUUCUCUCUUGGAAAUAUGGAUUUGGUAAGUGGGUGUGUGUUCGGAGUGCUUCUUAUGCGAAUGAGAGGAGGUGGAGAUGUAUAUAUAGGCAUCCCCCAAAAUCCAACCGUUACAACAUUAUUGUCCAACUCGGUGACACCGAAAUGAAUCUCGGUGGUACCGAGUUGCACCAAAUGUGACAACUUCUGAAUUAUGCGUGAGACUGAUAUAUAGAUCUCGGUGGUACCGAUACGAUGACCUAGGGCAGUUUCCGAAUCUCAGUGAGACCGAUUUCAAACUCAGAAAUUCCGCUUCUUGAAAUCUGCUCAACAGAAAGAUGGUCACAUGCUUUUCGGUGACAACGAUGUGAAACUUGGUGGUACCGAGAGAUUAGGAUUUGGCAAAGGAUCUGUCACUUGAAAAGUCCAUAGGGCCCAGUGGGAAAAGUUGGUGGCACCGAUUUUGCUGAUUUGGCUUGGGACACAAAUAUUUGUGGGAGAAUGACUGAAUAUUUUUGGUGGCUAUCUCUAAGCACUUGAGCAACCAAUUCAUCAUAAUAUCUCAUCCCUUUUCAUAGUAUUGGCUUUCCUACGGACUCAAAAGUGAUUCUCACAAAUGUAAAAUGCAGAGUCCUCUUGCUUGAAGCUUGAGCCAAUCCUAUUCCUUCCCUUGCAUCAAGGGGCUUCUCCUCACAAUCCUUCGGCCAAUGCUCUUUGUGGACUAUACCUGAAAUAUAGUAGGUAAAAGAGUUAGUCCAAGAGACAACGUAUGUUGUCAUGAAUUAUCAAAACCACCAAGAGAGUUUAUGUGCUUUCAACUUUGUCAGCUCUCUCUUGCAGGGGGGCUAGAUCAAGGUACUCUGGGAUACAGAAACUACUCUUCAGCCUCCUCAUGGCCUCCCGGAAGCUGUGCCACUACUUCCGAGCACACCACAUC